UGGGGAAUAUUGCACAAUGGGCGAAAGCCUGAUGCAGCGACGCCGCGUGGGGGAUGACGGCCUUCGGGUUGUAAACCUCUUUCAGCAAGGAAGAAGCGAAAGUGACGGUACUUGCAGAAGAAGCGCCGGCUAACUACGUGCCAGCAGCCGCGGUAAUACGUAGGGCGCAAGCGUUGUCCGGAAUUAUUGGGCGUAAAGGGCUUGUAGGUGGCUUGUCGCGUCUGCCGUGAAAACUCGAGGCUUAACCUUGGGCGUGCGGUGGGUACGGACAGGCUAGAGUGCGGUAGGGGAGACUGGAAUUCCUGGUGUAGCGGUGAAAUGCGCAGAUAUCAGGAGGAACACCGAUGGCGAAGGCAGGUCUCUGGGCCGUUACUGACACUGAGAAGCGAAAGCAUGGGGAGCGAACAGG
Molecule: ribosomal RNA, 409 nt
Filed under: Actinomycetes bacterium
Lineage: Bacteria; Bacillati; Actinomycetota; Actinomycetes
Description: Actinobacteria bacterium partial 16S ribosomal RNA
Rfam family: Bacterial small subunit ribosomal RNA
Source: RNAcentral